CCUACGGGAGGCUGCAGUAGGGAAUUUUCCGCAAUGGGCGAAAGCCUGACGGAGCAAUACCGCGUGAGGGAUGAAUGCCUAUGGGUUGUAAACCUCUUUUUUCAGGGAGGAACACAAUGACGUGUACCUGAAGAAUAAGCAUCGGCUAACUCCGUGCCAGCAGCCGCGGUAAGACGGAGGAUGCAAGUGUUAUCCGGAAUCACUGGGCGUAAAGCGUCUGUAGGUGGUUUAAUAAGUCAACUGUUAAAUCUUGAGGCUCAACCUCAAAAUCGCAGUCGAAACUAUUAGACUAGAGUAUAGUAGGGGUAAAGGGAAUUUCCAGUGGAGCGGUGAAAUGCGUAGAUAUUGGAAAGAACACCGAUGGCGAAGGCACUUUACUGGGCUAUUACUGACACUCAGAGACGAAAGCUAGGGUAGCAAAUGGGAUUAGAUACCCCAGUAGUC
Molecule: ribosomal RNA, 444 nt
Filed under: uncultured bacterium
Lineage: Bacteria
Description: bacterial SSU rRNA
Rfam family: Bacterial small subunit ribosomal RNA
Source: RNAcentral